GAUGAACGCUGGCGGCGUGCCUAAUACAUGCAAGUCGAGCGAACAGACGAGGAGCUUGCUCCUCUGACGUUAGCGGCGGACGGGUGAGUAACACGUGGAUAACCUACCUAUAAGACUGGGAUAACUUCGGGAAACCGGAGCUAAUACCGGAUAAUAUAUUGAACGGCAUGGUUCAAUAGUGAAACACGGUUUGGCUGUCACUUAGAGAUGGAUCCGCGCCGCAUUAGCUAGUUGGUAAGGUAACGGCUUACCAAGGCAACGAUGCGUAGCCGACCUGAGAGGGUGAUCGGCCACACUGGAACUGAGACACGGUCCAGACUCCUACGGGAGGCAGCAGUAGGGAAUCUUCCGCAAUGGGCGAAAGCCUGACGGAGCAACGCCGCGUGAGUGAUGAAGGUCUUCGGAUCGUAAAACUCUGUUAUUAGGGAAGAAAAAAUGUGUAAGUAACUAUGCACGUCUUGACGGUACCUAAUCAGAAAGCCACGGCUAACUACGUG
This 497-nucleotide ribosomal RNA is filed under the name uncultured bacterium. Its description in RNAcentral is "partial 16S ribosomal RNA". It matches the Rfam family "Bacterial small subunit ribosomal RNA", at positions 28 to 507 of the family's 1533-position model. The record is from RNAcentral.